UCAYCUGUKGCUCCURGUUUGUCCUUCCUUGUGGAGCAGCCCUGUUCCUCCUGCUCUCUGGUACCUUGAGCUUCUGAGGAGAUAAUGGACUAAAAAUAGCUAUUUGCUAAUCUUUGCCGUUCCUGAUGGGGCAAAACUUYUGAGUGUCUGCAGUGCCCAAAAUGCAGUUUGACUCAUAUGGGAUCUCUACCCAGUGUUCACAUUAGAAAAAUUUUCCUAUCCAAAUCACUCAGCAGAGCUCUAACAGGGACUAGGGGGCUCCUCUGUGGAGUAGAUGGGCCCCUCCAUACAGCAAUGGACAAAGAAAGGAGUCACAUUGUGCUGACGUUUGGAGAUGGGCAGUGAAAUCUGGUUGCACGCAGCCAAGCUGAACAUCCAAAGAUGAAGAUUGCAACUUUGUGCCUAGAUGUGCCACCUAAAGUUCCUUGGAAGAACAAGACAGCUACAAAAUGCAAAGAAAGAUCCAGGUAAUUCCUGGCAUGAAAACUGCUGCAAAACACGUGAACGACUGCAAAUCAGAAAGCAAGAAGAUGUAUAUGUGAUGCAGAGUGUUUAAACGAUGCAGUGUCUCUCCAGUACAUCCACACCAAAGGAUCCAAAUGCUCUAUGA
This is a long non-coding RNA of Nothoprocta perdicaria, 610 nucleotides long. RefSeq lists it as uncharacterized. The transcript is spliced from 3 exons. The record is from RefSeq and is a predicted model, not a curated record. Lineage: Eukaryota; Metazoa; Chordata; Aves; Tinamiformes; Tinamidae.